Molecule: long non-coding RNA, 388 nt
Filed under: Setaria viridis
Lineage: Eukaryota; Viridiplantae; Streptophyta; Magnoliopsida; Poales; Poaceae
Description: long non-coding RNA (SVIR_LNC004808)
Source: RNAcentral
AAGAAGUAAAGAAAGUGAAGACCAAACCAUUGAUACUGAUCCAAUGUGUGGUUGCCUUCUCUUCCUUCGAUGAGUAUCUGCGGUGAGCAACUUGUGUUUGCUAAUAGAAGGAGUGCCCUUGAGAAUAACAGAUAUAGGUGGGGGCAUCGGAUCCCAGGAUUGGAGUAGGGGUUGGCGGACCGUAAUCUAUUGGCUGGCUGCUAUUACUCACAGUCAGAUUUUCAUUAUCAAUUAUUUCCUAGAUAAUGCAAGGAAGCAAAGGAAAUAAGAGGAAGCAGGAGUAAAAACUGAAAAUGAUUAGGAAUGAAGGAUGUUACCUCGUCAUUUCAAUCAUAUUCGGGGAAGAUUUUCUUGCAGUAAUAUGUAGUUGACUUGUUGGCUAGAUGAC